This 449-nucleotide ribosomal RNA is filed under the name uncultured bacterium. RNAcentral's name for it is "partial 16S ribosomal RNA". It matches the Rfam family "Bacterial small subunit ribosomal RNA", at positions 29 to 523 of the family's 1533-position model. The record is from RNAcentral.
AACGAACGCUGGCGGCAUGCCUAACACAUGCAAGUCGAACGAGACCUUCGGGUCUAGUGGCGCACGGGUGCGUAACGCGUGGGAAUCUGCCCUUGGGUUCGGAACAACAGUUGGAAACGACUGCUAAUACCGGAUGAUGACUUCGGUCCAAAGAUUUAUCGCCCAAGGAUGAGCCCGCGUAGGAUUAGCUUGUUGGUGAGGUAAAAGCUCACCAAGGCGUCGAUCCUUAGCUGGUCUGAGAGGAUGAUCAGCCACACUGGGACUGAGACACGGCCCAGACUCCUACGGGAGGCAGCAGUGGGGAAUAUUGGACAAUGGGCGAAAGCCUGAUCCAGCAAUGCCGCGUGAGUGAUGAAGGCCUUAGGGUUGUAAAGCUCUUUUACCCGGGAUGAUAAUGACAGUACCGGGAGAAUAAGCCCCGGCUAACUCCGUGCCAGCAGCCGCCGCAG